GAUGAACGCUGGCGGCGUGCCUAAUACAUGCAAGUCGAGCGAACGGACGAGAAGCUUGCUUCCCUGAUGUUAGCGGCGGGCGGGCGAGUAAAACGUGCAUAGCCUUCUUAUAUGACUGGGGUAACUUCGGGAUAACGCUGCUACUACCGGUUAAUAUUUUGAACCGCUUGGUUCAAAAGUGCAAGACGCUCUUGCCGUUACUUAUAGAUGGAUCCGCGUUGCAUUAGCUAGUUGGUAAGGUAACGGCUUACCAAGGCGACGAUGCAUAGCCGACCUGAGAGGGUGAUCGGCCACACUGGAACUGAGACACGGUCCAGACUCCGACGGGAGGCAGCAGUAGGGAAUCUUCCGCAAUGGGCGAAAGCCUGACGGAGCAACGCCGCGUGAGUGAUGAAGGUCUUCGGAUCGUAAAGCUCUGUUAUUGGGGAAGAACAGAUGUGUAUUUAUCUGUGCACGUCUUGACGGUACCUAAGGAAAAAGCAACGGCUAACUACGUG
This 497-nucleotide ribosomal RNA is filed under the name uncultured bacterium. RNAcentral describes it as "partial 16S ribosomal RNA". It matches the Rfam family "Bacterial small subunit ribosomal RNA", at positions 28 to 507 of the family's 1533-position model. The record is from RNAcentral.